AUGAUGUGUGUAAUUUGGACCAAUGAAAACAGAAAUCCAGCCUCCUUUUUUUGUGCGGAAAUGGGCCCCUACGAUAUCCUGGGGAUGGAUGUUUUAUUCGAAGAAUUCCCAGAAAUUGUGAAUCUCGGUGUACAAGAAUCAACACGAAUGCUGAAACAUUGUUUUUUUUUGCUGAAGUCAACAGACGACGAUGAGGACCUGCCAACCCAGAGCGAUGAAAAUGCACCGUACGACCCAGAGAUGAGGACCUCACUUGAUGAUGAACAGAUCUUCGACAGCGAAGGAUACUGCUCUGAAGAUUUCCGUUUCCUACCUGAAGAUCACUUCUAA
RNAcentral lists this ribosomal RNA (330 nucleotides) under Triticum aestivum (bread wheat). Its description in RNAcentral is "partial small subunit ribosomal RNA". The record is from RNAcentral. Lineage: Eukaryota; Viridiplantae; Streptophyta; Magnoliopsida; Poales; Poaceae.